UACGUAGGGGGCAAGCGUUGUCCGGAUUUAUUGGGCGUAAAGAGCUCGUAGGCGGUUCGACAAGUCGGAUGUGAAAUCUCCACGCUCAACGUGGAGGGGCCAUUCGAAACUGUCGUGACUUGAGUCCGGUAGGGGAGUGUGGAAUUCCCGGUGUAGCGGUGAAAUGCGCAGAUAUCAGGAAGAACACCCGUGGCGAAGGCGGCUCUCUGGGACGGUACUGACGCUGAGACGCGAAAGCGUGGGGAGCAAACAGG
Molecule: ribosomal RNA, 254 nt
Filed under: uncultured bacterium
Lineage: Bacteria
Description: partial 16S ribosomal RNA
Rfam family: Bacterial small subunit ribosomal RNA
Source: RNAcentral